This 485-nucleotide ribosomal RNA is filed under the name uncultured bacterium. RNAcentral describes it as "bacterial SSU rRNA". It matches the Rfam family "Bacterial small subunit ribosomal RNA", at positions 327 to 804 of the family's 1533-position model. The record is from RNAcentral.
CGCCUUAUACUCCUACGGGAGGCAGCAGUGGGGAAUUUUGGACAAUGAGGGCAACCCUGAUCCAGCAAUGCCGCGUGAGUGAAGAAGGCCUUCGGGUUGUAAAGCUCUUUUGUCAGGGAAGAAACGGUAGUAGCUAAUAUCUAUUACUAAUGACGGUACCUGAAGAAUAAGCACCGGCUAACUACGUGCCAGCAGCCGCGGUAAUACGUAGGGUGCAAGCGUUAAUCGGAAUUACUGGGCGUAAAGCGUGCGCAGGCGGUUGUGUAAGUCAGAUGUGAAAUCCCCGGGCUCAACCUGGGAAUUGCAUGUGCGACUGCACGGCUAGGGUGUGUCAGAGGGCGGUAGAAUUCCACGUGUAGCAGUGAAAUGCGUAGAUAUGUGGAGCUAUACCGAUGGCGAAGGCAGCCCCCUGGGAUAACACUGACGCUCAUGCACGAAAGCGUGGGUAGCAAACAGGAUUAGAAACCCUAGUAGUCCACGUACCA